Pipra filicauda (Wire-tailed manakin) is the source of this 2293-nucleotide long non-coding RNA. RefSeq lists it as uncharacterized. The transcript has 2 exons. The record is from RefSeq and is a predicted model, not a curated record. NCBI's taxonomy places the organism in Eukaryota, Metazoa, Chordata, Aves, Passeriformes, Pipridae.
GGGUGUUUUUUUUGUUGUUGUCCUGCAGGUGACAAGUACGAGCUCCACGCGGCCACCGCCACCACCCCCAGCGUGGUCGUGCACGUGUGCGAGAGCGACCGGGAGAGCGACGGCGGCGACGAGGAACCCAAAAAGCCCAAACCCAAAAUCAUCCAGACCAGGAGACCCGAUUACACCCCCGCCCAUCUCAGCUGAGCUGCUGCUGCUGCUGGGUUUGGGUUUGGUUUUUUGGGGUUUUUUUUCCCAGUAGGAAACUUCCCAGGGAAAAAAAAAAAACCACCCCGUUGGGUUUGGCGGCGGCGCUCGAGAAAUUCCCCGUCUGAGAGAAAAAAUAAAGGAAGUUUCAUCCCGAUUUUUUUUGAGGCUGCAAGUUGAUCCCUGGGUGUAUUCCCAAAAUCGCUGGGAGAAGAUGAUAUUUGCAGACAAACCAAGACAAAAAUAGGGUUUCUUUUUGGGGGGUGAAGGAGCUUUUCCUUGCCUGACUCUUAAAUCCUCCGGUUGGAUGGAAAAACCUCGGGAUAACAGAGAAGGUUUUAAGGAUUAAAGUCCUUAAAACUCAAAAAAAAAAGUACUUUUUCUCCUCCUGCAUUUUGUGCAUGUGUAUUCUUGGUCUUCUAAAGUAACUUUUGAGUUAUUUUCUAGAGUUUCUCACGAGCUGGAAAUCGGGGAGGUUUAAGGUAUUUAUUAUCCCAGAUUUCCCUCUAGAUGUGUAAAUACAUAUAUUUAUAUUUGUUUUUUAUUGGCACUGCUUUUCCAGCAGGCACAAAAUCCCUUCAGCCCCCCUGAUUUAGGUGCUGUGGGGACCAGUGCUUUUAAAAAUGUUCACCUUUGAAAUGCCUCCAGUGGGGUUUUAUCUGGCAAAGCAAUGGGAAAAAAAAAAAGGUGCAACGGGAGACUUGCUGAAAUGAAUGGAUUUUAAAUUAUUUAAGUUCUGAUAAUUUAUAUCUUCAAUGACAUUUGGUAGCUUUGACUUGGGGAGGGGGGGUGGGAAAGGACUUUUAAGGGUAUAAAUAAGGCUAAUGGUGCAUAUUCAGAAUUUUUUCAGUGAUGGAGGGACUUGAAUCUGCGUUUUUUUGUGAGAAAAGGUUGAAUGGUGAUUGUAAAAUUACAGGGAGGAGAGAUGGUGCCUUUGCCUUGUCCAUUCCUACUACAAGCUGCACACUUGGAUCUUUUUCUACUGGCUUUGUACAUCCAGAACUCCCAAACUUUCUUAGCUUUGCCUCCAGACUGAGCUGGUGUGAAAUGCUUUAAUGCCAAGUAAUGCACAUUUAAAUCAUGGCAGUGUGUGGGAGAAGCUUUAGGGGUUUUUUAUAUGUUCCAGACAGUCCUGAUAAUUAAUCCCAAUUCCAAGGCAAAAAAAAAAAACCAAAAAGAUGAGAGAGAAAUGUAUUUUAUUACUUGUUUUUUUAAAACUGGAGAUCCUCACCUUGAAACAGGUAUUUUUUUGGGAAGAGAUAGGAACUGAUUUUUGUGGAAAAUGUCACUUAUGGGUCUUAGGAAGUCUGUUGGAAAGUUUUUAGGAAUCCAAACGUGGUUCCCUCCUGCUCUGCUUUUGCCACAGUUGGUCUGAGAAGGAGUUUGAAGCAAAUAUUGACUUAAACACCCUUGUUUUCUUUCAAUAAUACCUGUUUUAAAACCGAAGAUGUGGAAUGGAGCCAUCCCAAGCUGGGAAACAAGGACUGGUGAAACGGAAACCAGUGACUGGAGAACAGGGAUAUGUGGAAUUUUCUGCUCUGGUUUGGAUCACUGUUCCCUGGAAACUGGAAGAAACCCUGAUCCUUGGUGUUAUUUUGGGGGUACAACAUCCAGCUGGGGCCAUGGCCUGCCUACCAGCCCCCAAAAGAAAGGAAUCAAGCAGGUUUGCCACAACUGCCUUUAAACCUUUCCAAGAUUUUUUUUCCCCACGUUUCUCCAGUUCCUGCUGGACUCAAGUGUCUCAUCCAGUUGAAAAAUGGAAGAAUUCCCGUCCUUUUUCACCCACGGCAAAUCCCAACACGACUUCUCCAUCACAGGGAGCUGCUCUUCUGUUCCCUAAAAAAACCAACUGUGCUGCUUUUUCAACUAAAAACCACCAAAAUCCCUGAUUUUUAACCAUUUCCUACGCCCAGAAAGUGGCCACUGGGAAAGCCUGGAAAUCUUGGGAUGGUGACAGCGUGUUCCUGGUUGUGUCUCCUUGGCUUUUCCUCUUCCUUUUUUCUUUUUAAUGUUCAACUGAAUGCUUGGUUGGUAUUUUCUACAGUUGUAUAGCACGGGGCAUAUUUAAAUUAAAAUAUUUUGGUUGUCUUUCUUGUAA